CUGAGGGGGGCUGCUCCUAGUACGUGAGGACCGGAGUGGACGCAUCACUGGUGUUCGGGUUGUCAUGCCAAUGUCACUGCCCGGGAGCUAACUGCGGAAGAGAUAAGUGCUGAAAGCAUCUAAGCUCGAAACUUGCCCCGAUAUGAGGUCUCCCUGAGACUUUAGGUCUCCUGAAGGAACGUUGAAGACGACGACGUUGAUAGGCCGGGUGUGUAAGCGCAGCGAUGCGUUGAGCUAACCGGUACUAAUGAACCGUGAGGCUUAACCUU
This 269-nucleotide ribosomal RNA is filed under the name Salmonella enterica subsp. enterica serovar Oslo. Its description in RNAcentral is "partial 23S ribosomal RNA". It matches the Rfam family "Bacterial large subunit ribosomal RNA", at positions 2662 to 2925 of the family's 2925-position model. Lineage: Bacteria; Pseudomonadati; Pseudomonadota; Gammaproteobacteria; Enterobacterales; Enterobacteriaceae. The record is from RNAcentral.